RNAcentral lists this ribosomal RNA (253 nucleotides) under uncultured bacterium. Its description in RNAcentral is "partial 16S ribosomal RNA". It matches the Rfam family "Bacterial small subunit ribosomal RNA", at positions 524 to 776 of the family's 1533-position model. The record is from RNAcentral.
GACAUAGGUGGCGAGCGUUAUUCGGAAUUACUAGGCGUAAAGCGAGUGUAGGCGGGCGCUUAAGUCUGUCGUGAAAUCUCCCGGCUUAACUGGGAGGGGUCGACGGAAACUGGGCGUCUCGAGUGGGGUAGGGGGCAGUGGAAUUCCCGGUGUAGCGGUGAAAUGCGUAGAUAUCGGGAAGAACAUCGGUGGCGAAGGCGGCCAGCUGGGCCAUUGCUGACGCUGAUGCGCGACAGCGUGGGGAGCAAACAGG